Molecule: ribosomal RNA, 601 nt
Filed under: uncultured bacterium
Lineage: Bacteria
Description: bacterial SSU rRNA
Rfam family: Bacterial small subunit ribosomal RNA
Source: RNAcentral
CCUACGGGAGGCAGCAGUGGGGAAUAUUGGACAAUGGGCGGAAGCCUGAUCCAGCAAUGCCGCGUGAGUGAUGAAGGCCUUAGGGUUGUAAAGCUCUUUUACCAGGGAUGAUAAUGACAGUACCUGGAGAAUAAGCUCCGGCUAACUCCGUGCCAGCAGCCGCGGUAAUACGGAGGGAGCUAGCGUUGUUCGGAAUUACUGGGCGUAAAGCGUACGUAGGCGGUUAUUCAAGUCAGAGGUGAAAGCCUGGAGCUCAACUCCAGAACUGCCUUUGAAACUAGAUAGCUAGAAUCACGGAGAGGUUAGUGGAAUUCCGAGUGUAGAGGUGAAAUUCGUAGAUAUUCGGAAGAACACCAGUGGCGAAGGCGACUAACUGGACGUGUAUUGACGCUGAGGUACGAAAGCGUGGGGAGCAAACAGGAUUAGAUACCCUGGUAGUCCACGCCGUAAACGAUGAUAACUAGCUGUUCGGUCUCUACGAGACUGAGUGGCGCNGCUACGACAUUAAGUUAUCCGUCCGUGGGAGGUACGGUCGCGAGAAUUAAACUACAAGAAGUUAGACGGCGUGAGACGUGCCGAACGGACGACGACGAGGGAGAGG